AGGUUUCUUCUUUGCUGCCAGUGGGCCCUUCACACCUCUUUUGGGAGCCUGUAGUAAACAUAAAGAUAAGCCAACGAAUCAAAAAAAGGGAAAGAAACCAAAGAACAUCAUUCCAAAAUAUGCAUAUCAAGAACAGAGCUGAUCAAAACAAUGGGUAAAAAUACCAUGUUUUUGGUCUUUUCCACCAAUAUAUACCCUGUAUGGUGCUUGUAAAUGCAACAUUUCUACACUACACCCUCAAAAAGUCCUCCAUCAUCCACCAAUUUCCAAACCAUAUCACAUAGCCUCACAGCAGAGAUAUCAAAAAUAACAAAAUGCAAUGAAACUUCAAUUCAUACAACAAGAAGCGCAGCUAUUAACUAACACCCCAAUAAAAACAAACCAGCAGAAUCUCCAAAAAAUAUUCACUCAAGAAAAUUAAGUUUUUUGGGUACUUUUAAUACUUUUUUUUCCAAUUAAGUUUUCUGCCUUACCACACACAGUACAAAAAAAAACACUAGAAAGACUAAGAUUUCAGUCUAUUCACAUAGAGAAGUAAGAUUAUACACCCUCCAUCCCAACAAAAAUAAAAGCAUCGGCGUCAAAAAAAAAAAAAAAAGAGUACAAUUUGACACUAGAAAAUCAUCAGUUAAGCCUUUUGAGCACAAGAUAGACAACGUUGAAAGAGAAAAACGAAAGAGGCAUGAAAGAUGAGUAAUAUAUGUUACCAUCUAGAAGAGGAGACUUGCAGAUCGAAAACCUGAACGUGUUUGAGGUGAAAAGGGGUAGAGGCAGAAGAGUAGCAAAAGCGGCUGCUUUAGUAGGGUUUGCCCAAACCCUAAAUUGUUCUUUCAGUUUACAUUUUGGUCCCUUCAGUAUGCUAAUUGGUUUAUUUUACUUCUACUUUGUUAAGCCCUACCUUCUUCUUAAAAUUUGAUCAACUAUCAAAUUUUCUCAAUUCCUUAUAUAUAUAUAUAUAUGUAUAUAUAUAUAUUAUUUUUUCAAAGAGAAUUUUCUCUUUAUAUUAAAAAUUAAUAUAAAGAGAAAAUUAUCUUUGAAAAAAUAAUAAUAAAUAUUUUAAUGUUUUUUUUUAUGAACAACAAAAUGUUAGCUUUGAUUAUUUUUAUCAAAUAUAUUAUUGCUUUGUUUGUUGAUGUUAUACUCUUUACCGAUAUAAAAGUUCCAAGUUUUUCAUCCUUGGUAUUAGACUUUUAUUUUGAAGGUUUUAAUUUUUUUAUGGUUUUUUCUAAUUUAAUAUUUAUCUAAUUUUUAAAAUAUUUUAUAUUUUUCUCUUUAUUUUUUUAAUGUAAACUAAAAAUAAAUCCUAAUUUUGUAUCUUAUUUUUAGAUGUUAAUUAGGCAUCUAUAUUUCUCUUUACCUCGUUUUUGAUUUUUCACAAUGGUUACUUAUGUUACUUAUACGUGUUUUUAUAUUUUAUAUUUUAUAUUUUAUAUAAAUUUUAUUUAAAUUGUGUUUGCUAAUUUCUUUUUGACUUAACUAAUCUAGUAUUUUUUUUUUAUUCUAAUCUUAUGGUUUAGUGCUUUGACUAGUAGUAAUAUCUUAUAUUGGCGGGUAAGGAAAUGGUAACUGGUCUUAUUAAGAGUAAUGGUUGUUGACUUGUCAUAUAUGUUUUGAGGCAUCAAGCUUAAAAGUGGAUUCGUAUCACUAGAAAUAAAAUUAUAAGGGCGGUAAGAUCCAAAGCGGACAAUAUAUGACAAGUUGGAUUGAGCUUUUAUAGUUAAUAUCAAAACCGACCUCACUUGCUGUCCGGUUGUGCUGAUAGGGUCGUCAGACUCCUUAAGAGGAGUGGAUUGUAAUAUCUUACAUCAAUCGAUGAGAAAGUGGUAACUGGUCUUAUUAAGAAUGUUGGUUGCUAACUUGUCAUACACGUUUAGGGGCGUCAAGCUUACAAGUGGGCUCACAUCAUUAAGAACAAAUUGUGAAAGCGAUAAGGCCUAAAACGUAUAAUAUAUAACAAGUUGGGUCGGCUUGUUAUACUAAUUAUGUGACCUGCACUCUAUUGUGGAUCAAAUAAUAAAAAUAAAAUAAAAGAAGCCCCUUAAAGAAAAAGGAUGUUUUUGCUAUUUUUUUUUAGUUUUUUUAACCCGUCAUGUCACUUUAUUUUGUAUUUAAACCAUAUGAAAAAUAUAAAAAAAAAUUAAGGGUUUAGGGUAGGAUAAAAAACACAUUAAAAAAAGAUCUCUUUCAAGUUUUUGCUAGAUCACCCGAGUUUUGGGUUAACUUCACAGGUCAACUGGUUUAUUCAGGUCAAUAGUAGGCUCAAAUUUUGAAUGAAAGAGAUUUACUUAAUGCUGAUGGGCUUGGCCUCCUAGCAGGACCCAAAGCAUUGGGUUUUGCUUUUGACAUGACCCAAACUAUUGGGUCCUAUUUAACAAAGAGUUCAAAAAUAUUAGGCUUUAGUGGUAGAAGGGUCUAACUAAACAUUAGGUCACGAUGGUAGGCAAAACCUAAAGUUGUUGGGUCUAGUGGCAAUAAUGUCCAAUUAGAUGUUGAGUCUUGGUGAGAUGGGAGUGAAGACCCAAAGCUGUUGAGUCUUGGUUUUUGCUGGAACAAGACCUAAUAUUGAAAGGUCCUAUUAGCACUGAUGGCAUACUCCAAAUAGGACCCAAUGUUGAUGGGUCCUAUUAAAGGUAAGAUCCAAAGCUGAAGGAUCCUGAUUGCAAAAAGAUCUAAAAUGGAUAGGUCUACUUCCAGCAAGACUCAACUCAAAUGGAUCCUACUCUUAGAUGGACCCAAAAUUAUUUUAGAUCUUCUAGCUUCCCCAAGGACUCAAUGGCAUGAGGCCCUUCUGUAUCCAUUAGAGUUGGGUCUUGUCCUUAAUAGGACUUAAGUGAGCUACUACAAUGAAUGUUUAUUGAAAAAAAAUAAAAAAGGAAGCUGCUUGAUGAACAAUUAUUAAGUAAAGUAUCAACCUGGUAUCAAAUCCCAGAUAAAAUUAAAAUGCAUUUAAAAAUGCUUAAAUACAACUCUAAUAGAAAUAUUUAACCUUUGAAAAUCAAAUCUCAUUUUAUUUAUUUUUGAAUAGUUUUUUUUUUCAUUUGAAAUAAUAAAAUAUUGAUAAAAUUUUGAAUAUCAUACAUUAAUGUUGUGAAAUUAAAAUGUCUUUUAUCACCCAAAAUUAAAUUAUAUUGGGUAAUAUUAUUCUAACAUUAUAUAAUAUUAUACCAUACAUAUAAUAAGUAUGUUAUUUUAAUCUUUGUAAAUUUAUAAUGAAGAGAAAGUCAUCAUCGGCUCUCCAAAUCCAUCCCUCGACUUAUUAUUAUUAUUAUCAUCCAUACCUAUCUUCUACAAAAUGCAAUGGGCUGUAAGUAAGACCACAAGGCAAGAAGAUCAAAAGCUUAACAAAUUAUCAAAAGACGAGCAAACAAAUAUAUUUUUGGAAGCGUAACAGCAUUCUAUGAAUGCAUGCCAUCUUUAUUACAUUUUAUACUGUAACUGUGAAAAACAAAAGAAUUACACAAAGCAAUCUUGGAUGCCAUCUGGGUGCAUGGCAUCUUUAUUCAAAUUUAUUAAUUCGCGUCUAAUUGAUUUUCUGGGUAAUCUAGUGUGCAAAUAAAGAUCAGCAAGAUGAAACAAGAUGCCACCCCAUGCAGUCAAACCUAUGGGGAUUUUUUUUACUGGACAUGCCGCCACCCAAUUGCAUUCUCUACUGUACAUUUCUCAGCACCUCCCUCCUUGUAAAUAUUUAUAAUUUUAGUAUAAUUUCGAUCUUUUUAAAACAAUUUUUUCAAUUUAACCUCCUUUAAUUUUUUGUUCUUGCUCCGCUCUUCAGUGAAGGUUAGUAGAGUGAAUUUGAAUUGAUUCAAUUUUCUUUUUUUUUUUAUGUUUCUUAGUUUUAGAUUAUUAUUUUUUUAAUUUUAUAAUUUAAAAUUAUGUUAUUGAAACUUAAGAUUUGUGAUUUUUUAUGCUUUCUUUUACGAGAGGGUAUCUUAAUUUCAUAUCUUUAGUCAACGUUAAACAAUUUAACCAAAGUAGAGCACUAAUAAAAAAAAAACCUAGUUUUCUCUUUACUCGUUACAGUCAGCACAACAAUAUUCUGUUGGGAGAUUUGCAUUAUGAAAUCACUUGGUCGCAUAUAAGCCUGCAUACAUGUGUGAAUAAAAAAAUUAAAAAAUCAAUUAAAUUGAGAAAAUUAGAACAAAAUAAUUGAAAAAAUCAAAUCGAAAAAACUAAUUAAACUAAUUAAAAUUUUGAAAAACCCAGCCGGUUCGGUAAGCCAAGCCAAACCGGAAAAAUUAAGCCAAACUAGAAAAAUCGAGUAAAAACCGAGCCAAAACCAAGAAAACCAAGCAAAAACAGUUUGAACCAGUUUUUUUCUAAAAAAUCAAACUGAAACCAGUUAGUUUGAACCAGUUUUGAUUUUUUUUUAAUUUCAAUUUGAUUAUUUUUUUUGAUAAAAAUCAAACCAAACAAAAAAUAAACACCCUACUUGCAUAUAGGAAUAUUUGUCUUCACUUUCAACCUAACAAUUUAAAUAAUUCGGUUCUUGUUCUUGUUCUUCUUCUUGUUCUCAACCAAUGGAUUUCCAAAUCAUAAUUGCUUGCUUGUUUGGAACCAAAUUAUAUAUAAAAUCAAAUUUAAUUUUAUAUGUAAUUUAAAUUUAAUUAAUAACCUAUUAUAACUCUUAAAUUUGAAAUAAAAUAUUAAAUCACAUGAUUAAAUUCAAUUAUAAUAUUUAGAAUACAUGUGUAAUUGAAUUGAAUUAACAAUCUUGUCUGUUUUACUUUUACUUCAGAAAUCAUUUUUUUUUGUUACAAAAAAUAUAUUUCUGUUUGUUGAUGUGAAAAUAGAAUCCAUAACUUUUUUUUUUGAUAAAUCAUGAUGCAUGCAUGGUAUGAUAAAGACAACAAGCAAUAUCAACAUGAAUGACAUAGAAAACAUCAGGAAGAUUAUUAUUGACAACAUCAUAUUGUUUUUUUAGUAAUAAAGAUAUUCUCAUACCAAUUUUCAUUUAAUUCUCACAGAAUAAAACUAUUUCAUCUACUUUUAAAUAAGCUAUUUCACCAUAUAUAUGUAUAUAUAUAAAUAUACAUAAUUUUUUAAUUCAUAAUAAUAAAAAUUCAUUCUUGAUUCACUCUAUACCACUCAAUAAAAUCCAAAGAUAGUUCCCAACUUCCUAUCAUUAUUAUAUAUAACACCAAUCAUGCUACAAGGGAGAAACAUGGCAAGGACAUAUCUUAUUCUUUAACAUUGUAAUUAACCACAAACUGUUGACGUUGAAAUACGUCAUCCAUUUAUCUUCUUAUACUGUCGAUAGUUGUUGUCUACAAUUCACUUGGAUGGGCGAGAGAUGAUGUAACUCAAUUUUCUGUGAGUAGUUCUAUUCUAAUACCUCUUUUUUGUUGAACGUUAGGAUGGUGAUUUUGCUAGUUCUUGUUGACAGUUCCUGUUUCCUUAACAAUAUUUAUGGAAAAAAGCCACCCAAGACUAUGAAAAUGUGGCUGACAUUAUGACUGAUUUAACUGUUUCCCUCACGCAUGGGUCGCAAAAAGAAGUUAUCAGCGUUAUAAAUGUUACUCAUGAUAAUAUUUUAACUACCCAAUCAAUACAGAACUUGUUCACAACAACAAACAGAGCAAUUGAAGGGGAAAAAGAAGAGCUAAAAUCAUCCAAGAAGUUCCUUUCUGACUAAAACUUUAUCUCCAACAGCUUGCUAGAAGAAGCUCAAGACAUCCUUUGCGCAGCCUCCUUGGCUAAGACUCUCUCCUUAGCUUUGCUCUUGGCCAGAGAUUUGGAACCCAUGAUGCCACCGCCCCAUUUCUUUCGGUGCUCAUCAAACUUAUCAUUGAAGUUAGCCUUGACUGCCUCCAAAACCCUGCUAAAUUCCAAUUUAUCCUCAUUCUUCACUGAUGUGAGGCACAAAACUGAUGCUGUUUUCUUGUGGACAAUCGCUCCAAGACGUGACUUGCCCUUCACAAUUGCAUAAGGAACCUCCAUUUUCCGGCACAAUGCAGGCAGCCAAACAACAAGCUCAAUUGGAUCAACAUCAUGCGCGAUAACCACCAGCUGGGCCUUGUUCUGCUCAAUGAGGUAAGUAACAUGGUUAAGACCAUAUUUAAUAACAAUAGUCUUCUUUGUUUCCACAGUCUUCCCCUCAGCUUCAGCGUGUGCUCUCUUAAGAAGCCUUUCCUUCUUAGCAGCCUUGUCCUCAGGUCUAUAUUUUAGCAACAGCUUGAAAAGUUGUGUAGCAAGGUUCUUGUCAAGUGUUUUUGUGAACUGGUUAACAGCAGGAGGAACCUUCAAACGCUGUUUCAGAAUCCUUCUUUGCCUCUGAAUACGAACAACAUGUGGCCACUUGGCAAAUCUAGUCAAAUCCUUCUUGGGUGGAAGGGCACCACCAAUUCCAAACUGCUUUGGUCGUUUCUCAAACAAAGGGUUUACGACCUUUUC
This 6390-nucleotide long non-coding RNA is filed under the name Populus euphratica (Euphrates poplar). Lineage: Eukaryota; Viridiplantae; Streptophyta; Magnoliopsida; Malpighiales; Salicaceae. The record is from RNAcentral.